Carya illinoinensis is the source of this 2423-nucleotide RNA transcript. It is a transcript of the gene named putative E3 ubiquitin-protein ligase XBAT35, with no coding region annotated. The transcript has 11 exons. NCBI's taxonomy places the organism in Eukaryota, Viridiplantae, Streptophyta, Magnoliopsida, Fagales, Juglandaceae. The record is from RefSeq and is a predicted model, not a curated record.
AACGGGCUGAAUUGCCGUACCGUAAUUUUCUAGGGAAAGAACUUAGAAAUUUCCUCCUUCAUUUCCCAAACAUCCUUCUUUGCUAAGAAAUGCGAACCAGAUUAUUAAUUAUCAAAAUAAAUAUAUUUAAUUAUUAUUAUCCAUCGCUAUUCCAUUAUUAGCCUUUGAUUAUCAAAAUGUUUUUGUUAUCCUGGUUUCUCUCUUGAUUAGCCAUUAGGCUUUCGAGUGUUCCUCAAUACUUCUGGAUCCGUAUAUUUUCCAGGAAAAAGUUCACAACUUUUCUGGAAAAUAUAUUUACUUUUUCCUUGAAAACCCGUGGGAUCUCACGCUCUUGGUUUCAAAAUGGGACACCAGCAAUCCAAGGAAGAGCUGCUCUACCAGCAAGUCAAUUAUGGGAACGCGGAGGGCAUCAAAGCCCUCUGCAGAGAAGGUGCAGGCCUCGAGUGGAUUGACAGAGAGGGGAAAACCCCUUUGAUUGUAGCAUGUUUGAAUCCGGACCUUUAUAAUGUUGCAAAAACUUUGAUAGAGAUCGGCGCCAAUAUCAAUGCUUAUCGACCUGGACGCCAUGCUGGAACUCCUUUACACCAUGCAGCUAAAAGAGGCCUUGAAAAUACUGUGAAGUUACUACUUUUGCAUGGAGCAAAUGCGCUGUUAAUGAAUGAUGAUUGCCAAACUCCUCUCGAUGUUGCUAGGGCCAAGGGGCACAGUAACGUAGUUCGUGCCAUUGAGGGUCAUAUUUGCUUAUUCUCUGGUUGGCUGCGAGAGCUUUAUGGACCAGGUUUUCUUGAAGUAUUCGCACCUCAGUUAGUCUCAAGAAAAGUUUGGGUUGUCGUUUUACCCUGUGGUUCACGUAAACCUAUGAAGCCUUUUAAGCUGGAGCUUGCAAUAUACCCUAGUUUACAGGUUGCCCAGCCACGUGCAGUUAUCCCAUUAUGGAAAGCCAAUUUGGAAGAAUCAAAUCUACUCCAAUCUGAUCCUUCAGUGAUAGUACAUGAUACCUCCACCAUGUCAAGAGGCAGGAGGCGGAGACGAUGUGUUUACACCUCCCGAGAGGCGAGGUGUAGCCCUCGAAAACUUAGGCAAACUCGCAUUAAGCUUGCACCUGCUAGUGAAAGUGACAAACAACAACUUCGAUGGUUUGUUGAUGCAUGCAAGGGAAUUCCACAGGCAAUGCAUCCUCCUGCAUUUUUGCAUAAUAAUCAGGCCCCAGUUGUUCCAGCCACUGCACCACCAGCUGCUGAAGAUUUGGAAAUAGCAAUGGCAAUCAGUGCCUCAAUUCAGUCUGCCAUACAGGAGAGACCAUCUUUUCUCGAUGCCCAUCCAAGCUCUGAAGCAAGCUCAUCCACGAGUUGGAAUAACCCUAUGAACAUGAGCAGUCAUAGUGGUUUGGAUGUACCAAUAGCACCUGCUCCAAAUACUAGUUCCGAGUGGGCAGUGCAUGAAAAUGGCCCAGAAGACAAUUCAAGUCAGCAAACCCAGAACAACGACUACAUUACUUCAACUCAAAAAAAUCCCAACCCAGGUUUGAUCCCAUCAGCUCCAUCAAUCGCUGAUGAGAUUAUGGAAGAUGGUCCUAUUCAAUACCCAUCAAUUGAUUCCACUCCUGUUGACUUCUUGUCCCCAGUAAACGAGGAUGUACCUGCUACAACAGGUGAAAAGAAAGAUGAUGGAGGUGCAUCCUCAUGUGUGAUAUGUUUGGAUGCUCCAGUUGAGGCGGCAUGCAUUCCAUGUGGCCACAUGGCUGGAUGCAUGUCUUGUUUGAACGAGAUCACAACCAAGAAGUGGGGUUGCCCUGUUUGUCGUGCCAAGAUUGACCAGGUUGUAAGGCUGUAUGCUGUUUGACCAUUCAGGCAGAAUCUGGAGAAGCUUUAAAUGGUCAGUGGGUUUUGGACACUACAACGAAUUUUGUUUGUGUUUCUGUAAGGAAGACCGGUUCCUAAAUAUUUGGGGACCUCACCUGAAGGUUUCUGACUAUAUUAUUGCCUUGCACCGUGGUCUCUGAAAUAUCACUUGCCUCUGUUGCAUUUAUGGUAAGCUACAUGAACUUUGAUCUAAAUCGCCAAUGAAGGAAGGUGCUAUGACCUCUAGGUCUGCGAGGCCAGUGAUAUCUCAUAACCUCAGGGACAAGAUGUGAAAAGAAGUUGCAUGUAGAGAAAGUUGUCAGGAGAAGCACGAGCGAAGCUGCCUACGAAAUACUCUACUUCUAGUACUUUGUAUGUGUGUGUGGACAAUUUACAGAUAUUAUUGGAGCAGGAGAGUUCAGAGCAUGAUUGGGAUUUUACCUAAAGACAAGCAGUUUUAAGUUAUAAGCCAAUAGUUCUAUACAAUAUUCUUGUGUAUGGGCCUUAAUUGAGACCGGGAAGAUUGAGAUUGGUGUAAAAAACACUGUUGCAUAUAUUAUUUGCGUUACUGUCCAGGAUCAA